GUUAAGUAAAAAGAUUUUUAAGUCUCCUGUAGCAAAUGAUAAAUGAUGUAGACAUCGAUCUUUUCACUGACUGCAAUAUAAAGACUACAUUCAAUUCAUUGUCAGCAGAAGCAGACAGACUGUCAAGGAAUUAUAGCUAUAUCGAUUAUCUUAUCAAAUUUGCCAAAAUGACAAUUAUGAGGAAAUAGAUUAUAUAUAUGCUAUAAGCCAGAAACAUAAAAGAGUCAAGAAAUUACUUGUUGAUCCAAAGGGUGAACGCAAAUAAAACUUGAAAUCAAGAAUCUGAACAUCAAAUUUCUAAUGACUCGAAAUCUGGAAUCUAAGCAACAAGAAUUGCACUGAAAAUAUUUUAUGAAUCAUUGAAAUCUGAGCAGAUAUUAAGAUUAUUAUAUACAUAUGUAUGUAAAUUCUAUCAUAGAAAUCAUGAACCUUAUAUAGUACAUAUUAUUAUCGAAAUUUGUAUAAAUAUCACAAAUUCAGGAAUUAUUUCUAAUUUGAUAAACUCGCUUAAAAUCUCCAACUUACUUGGCAGAGGCUUGGACCAGAUUCCAAUCGUAACCCUCCAGGACCUUCAUAACGGCGCUGGUGAUGCGCUCAUCCUCCUUGCGUCCGCCUUGGCCGGCGGCGCGUUUCUGCUCGGCCUUCAGUGCAUAGUUGGCCAGGACUAAAGUCUCCACGGGCUUGGCGCGUUCCGUAUUCGUAUUGGCGCUCAUUUCGGUCAACAGACUUUGCCGACGGCUGCGCGGCUUUUGUCAAAGAUACAGUUACAGUUAUACAGUUAUGAUACAGAUACAGAUACAGCUGCUCGGAUCUCUCGGAGACUUGGAUAUACACCCACACGGCUGGCGAGGCGACGCGACGCGACUGACAAGCAAACUGCGACUGAUCUGCGCCUGUUGACUGCUCGGCUCUCGGCAGUGUGUGUGUGUUUAGAUCGUCGGCUCGGCUCGGCUCGGUUGGGCUCGGCGAUCGGAGAUAAGCUCAAGACGCCGUUGGUUGGCUACUCGUCCGUCCGUCCGUUCGUCUUCCCCGGCUGACGAUCCGCGGCGGGGGCGCGCACAUAAAAAUCGCGGUACGCGUGUAAACAUUAACAUGUUCAUGUGAAAUUAGGUGGCCCCAGCCCCACAGAUCCACCGAGCGGGGCCAACGGGGGCAGCGAUCGAGUGACAGUUGCAAGAAAGAAGACAGCCAGAGGGAGAGAGAGAAGGGGAAGAGAGAGAGGGAGUGAGAGAGCGAGAGAGUGGGAAGAUACGUACUGAAAUUAGUAGACACUUUACAACCACAUGUGGAUUUAUGACACCUCGACAAAGAGCGAGCCCGAGGGAGCAGACAGGGCGACGGAGUUGCCCACUUGUUGCAGCUGUAUUUGCGGCAACUCGGCGAUAAGAGCCACAAAAGUGUUCGACAUGGGUAAAGGAUCGUUAAAAAAAAAGGAUAGAAGAAACGCUAAGAACGGGUAGCCAUGAGAAAAUUAUAUCUAUUGAAUAAAAAUCUGGAAUUUGUAAUUAAGAUAUUCUAUUAGAAGCUAUUGGGUAUUAAAUAUUUAAUGUAUAUUUAAA
Molecule: long non-coding RNA, 1559 nt
Organism: Drosophila mojavensis
Lineage: Eukaryota; Metazoa; Arthropoda; Insecta; Diptera; Drosophilidae
Exons: 2
Source: RefSeq, a predicted model, not a curated record